UACGGAGGGUGCAAACGUUGCUCGGAAUCAUUGGGCGUAAAGCGCACGUAGGCGGCGCGUUAAGUCGGAUGUGAAAGCCCCGGGCUCAACCCGGGAAGUGCAUACGAAACUGGCGCGCUUGAAUAUGGAAGAGGGUCGCGGAAUUCCCGGUGUAGAGGUGAAAUUCGUAGAUAUCGGGAGGAACACCCGUGGUGCAGACGGCUUGCUGGACCGUGACUGACGCUGAGGCACGAAAGCGUGGGUAGCAAACAGG
This 253-nucleotide ribosomal RNA is filed under the name uncultured bacterium. RNAcentral's name for it is "partial 16S ribosomal RNA". It matches the Rfam family "Bacterial small subunit ribosomal RNA", at positions 524 to 776 of the family's 1533-position model. The record is from RNAcentral.